AGGACUGUUAGCAAACUUAGCUUGUUGUAUGAGGUGAAUAUUGAGUCUCUGGGUUAAACAUGUAUUCAGGAGAGUCUCUGAUGGAGUUUGUCAACAAGCAAGUAGCUACUGCUAGAAAACUCAUCAGGAAGGUUGAAGAAGCCUUGGCCCAGAUCGAGGAAGGGCUCGGUGGUCAGCGCAGACUGUCGGAUAUGAGCUGGGAACCACAGAACCGCUUGCACGGAGCAGGUAAGAAACACCAGCGGGACUCGUGCAGAGACGGAAUGGGACAAUAAUUUAGCCCAGAGCCGUGUCCUGUUAUUAUUUAAGGCGUGUAGAAAGCUGCUUUCUUGUGUAGAUCAUCUCCAGCAAGCGGACCUCAGUUUUCUGACUGCCUUCUAGCCAGCCGUCUUUCGAUUUUUAUGGGCGCAACUACAAGAGAAAUUACGGUGUCCUCGUUAUAGAGUGCCUUUCAAAAUAAAAGCGCUCAAAACACAUUUCAAAAUUUGUGUAAAAUUGUGUCUACAAUAAAACUGCGUUUUAUGAUUUUAUCUAUUUAAAAAUACUUUUAAUUCAAAUAAUGAACACAAAAUAAACGUGUUUGUGUAAAAUUGUGUGCAAAAUAAAACAGUUUUUUAUGAUUUUAUCUAUUUAAAAAUACUUUAAAUUAAAAGAUUAACCACAUUUGUCUACUUUGCAAUUUUUAUCCCUCCCCUCCCUUUCAUCCUGAUCGGAUGUGGCAUUUAAAAAAAGUGAAAGUUAUUGACAAUUAUCACUAAAUUCAAUGGUUUCAUUCUCAAAAACGGUCUAAAUGAAGUGCAAAUUUAACUAUAAAGACAAUUUUCACCAUAUUCAAUGGUUUCUUUCUCAAAAACUGUCUAAUUCCACGUCAGUCUUAAAGUACACACCGACUGCUAAAUCCUCCCCAACUUUCAUAAGGAUCUGAUGUGGCAUUUCAAAAUAAAGUGCAAUCAAGUAUGACUUUAGAGACAAUAUUCACUAUAUUCAAUGGUUAAUUUCUCAAAAACUGUCUGAUUCGACAACAUCUUUCCACCUCAGUCUUAGAGUACACAUCGAGGAAUACAUCCUCUGCAAAUUUUAUUAAUACCUGAUGGUACAUCAGAAAUUUUGUGAGGAUGUAGUCGUCUAUGUGUACUUUAAGGCAGAUGUGGAAUGAUGUUGCGGAAUCAAACUGAGAAAUCAGCCGUGGAAUAUAGUUAAAAUUGUCAUUACUGACUAGUUUCAUUGCACUUUAUUUUGAAAUGUCACAUCAGAUCUUUAUGAAAUUUGGGGAGGAUGUAGUGCUCAAUGUGUACUCUAAGACUGAAGUGGAUUGAUGUUGUGGGAUGAAACAGUUUUUGAGAAAUUACCAUGGAAUUAGUAAAAAUAGUCAUUAAUGACUUUUGAUUGCAAUUUAUUUUGAAAUGCCACAUCAAUCAAUCAAUCAAAGCUUUAUUUAUAAAACGCCUGUCGGGAAGCCCAAGGCGUUGAACAUGGUACAUGAGAAAUGUGAAACAUGAUGAAUAAAUUGAAAAUAAAAGCAAUUCAAAUAGUGCAAAAAAGGUAAAAUAUUAAAGUAGAAGACAAAUGGGUAAAACAAGGGAUAAAGAGACCAAUGAAAACAGGGAAAUUAAAUCAACAUAAAAGAGGGCCAAAUUCAAACACGUUCAGGGAAUGCCAUGUCUACUAAAUUUGUCGGGGUUGUUAACAUUGUAUCACUCACUGAUUGAACCAUAUUUAUUUUAUUGUUUAGAAAUUUGGGGAGCCACUUGCAAAACUUUUACACAACCAUUGUUCAUGUUGCAAAAAAGAGCAUUGCGAAUCAUUAACAACAGUAACUAUAGAGAUCACACUAAUCAAUUAUUCAUUAGAUACAAAAUACUGAAAUUUCCUGACUUGGUAGAGUGGAAAAUAUUGCAAAUAAUGUACAGAGCGAAUACGAGUAAUCUACCAACUAAUAUUCAGAAAAUGUUUCAUAAGAGAGUAAGUGGGUACAUGUUAAAAGGAACUGAUGUCUUUAAAGAGCAAGUAAUGUCUAAAUUAACUUUUUUUGCUGAUGAACUGUAUAAAUGAGUGUCUAAUAGUGUUUUAAAUGUGUGCAUUCUUUAUUUUAGCAUUUUGGUGCAUUUUCUUUAAAAAUGCUGCCUAAAUACCACAGUAUAGCACCAUCUUCAGCUUAAAACAUAGAAUUUGACUCAUUUUGAAUAAAUUUUAGCCAAUGGCUAAAGAGUAAGAUACUACGUAAACCAGUAGAGUACUACGUAGCAGCUCUGUGUGAACGUUAUAAAAGCAACGAGCGUCUCGGCCACGCCUUGUGGCGAGUUGGGAGUUGGAUUUGCAAGAGAGCGUAGGAGGUUAGCGGUAGUUCAGCCUUAGCAUAUAGCGUUAGCAUAUCCUAGUCUUUAGCAUAGCUUUUAGUGUUAAAAAUACUUAUUUAGUGUUAGUUUGGCUGUUGGAUAUUGUAGUUUAGUUAGCGUUUGGCUGUUAGUGUAAUUGGGAAAGUAGUUCGGGUUUAGUGCUCCAUAUCGUGUUAGUAUUGGUGAGUAGGUGUAGUGUAGUAUGGUUGCGGAGCUCUGUGGGCAUUUUACCCGCGAUUCUGCACGUCUCCGUUUUAAGAGGGAGGCUGUGCCCACCGUGGCUCUUCCGCGAUUUAGAUGCAGCCCACCGACUCUGCUCCCCCACCACGGCGGGCUCCAGUCUGAGGUGAGUAAGCUAAAUAAACAUUUUAACAUCUUCUAAAGACAAUUUCCUACCUAAAUGCAAAGUCCGAGAGACGUGGUUCACUUCCUUUAGCUAGUCAGUCGGUAAUUCUGCAACAGUGUCUCUUAACUAACGCAGCACUAGUUGACAAGACAGCAUUACAGCGUGAAAUCCAGCUUGUGACCCGAUUCUGUGAGGAAUUCUGUUCAGGUCACAUUUCAGGCUCUCCACAUCAUGUGUGACUGACUUUUACGUUAUAACAACGAUCACACACUAGGAAUGUUAUAAAGCGCCUUUAUAGGACAGUUUCUUUUGUAUUUUAUCUGACUUUAUAAACUCCCAACAACAAUGUGCUUCUAUUUUUUUUUUCAGGCUAAAUCUACCCAAGACAUUGGCUGUCAGACUGAUUUAGCUGCAAGAAUGCACUUGUCCAGGCUGACAUGAAGCCUUGCCGGCGUAGCAAAUCCAGAAUGGAGUUCACAGCUGCAGUGUGUCUUGUGACACAGGGACCAUGAUGGAAAUUCAUCUUCCAGAAAGGCCCAGAGCAACGUCCACACCCCUGAAAAGACCCAGAUGUGAGGUGUCUGCUGUUGAUUCCAGCUUCCACCUCAGUGACAGUGCAAGCUCAGUGAACUGUUCAAGGACACUCAGCAAAAUAUGGACUCUACACCAUGAGGCAGGCACACGUUCAUAUUCUAUAAGAGCACAUAAGCAUGAGGACGUCCUCACACACCUGUAACCUAUCAGCUCAUCUGGCAGAAUAGAGAGAGAAGAGACAACACCACAUCUCCUGUUCCUGGAAAGCCUUCAGCCAUCCUUCGAUGACUGAGAACCUCCAUCAGCUCUGUCUCCUGUCUGCCUACAAUUAUUAUAAUAAAUAUUGUGUUUGACAAGUUUUUGACACAUUUUUGUUGCAUGUUUAACUAGCUCUAUUGUGAUGAAUUAAACUAGCACCUCACUGUUAAAAGCUCGUUUUAAUUUCAAGCAUGUUUACGUAUUUAUGGACAUGAACAAAAACAGGAAAUAUAUAAAUUGAGAUUUAUUUAAUUAAUAUAACAAAUAAGGGGGAAAGAGUCAUUGAAAGGCACAUUCUUCUGGAAGCUCCUGAUCCUGACGACACCAGCAGAGGAGACCACCUGCAGACACCAGAGACCAGCUGCAGACACCAGAGGACCUAGAACCGAGAGAACAGCUGUUAUUAGUAAAUAAAUAAAGAAAUCAGGGCAGUUUUAGUGGGCUGAACACAUUACAGAAUAAUUUUCUCAUGGGGUAUUUUCAUAACUUUGUAUGCAGCAGACUGUAACUUGAGCCCAGGGCUACCGGAGAGCUGCUAUCCAGCAUGUUUCAGUGGUUUUCCUGCUUUAACAGGUUAGAUUAGCUGUUAAGCAGCUCAGCUAUUUGUUGCUGAUUAAAACCAGGUGUGCUGAAGCAGAUAAACCUCUAACACAUGCUGAAUACUAGCUCUAGGGCCGUGGAGACAAACCCUGCAGCUAAUCUGAUGCUAUGGCUAAUGGCUACUUACAUUCAGAGGUGGUUCUGUUGGGUCGGCUCCGCUAGUUUCAGGCAACUCACACGCUCAAAACAAUAAGGCUCAGGUCCGCUUGUCUCCAAAUAGACUUGGUCCCUUUCUUCUCGAGUGUCUGGGUAAGGAGGGGGAGAAAGGUCCUCCACUUCUAAUAACUGCUCAGAGUGAAGGGAGCUAGCAUCGUCUAGUUAGCCAUCGUCUUCAUCACUGCCGCGGCUCCGCCCUCUCGGUCCUCCAGGCAACGCCUACUAAUGUUGCAUUUUUAAAAAUUGAUACGUGGGUGGAGAAGGACUCCGAGGCUCAGUUGACCCGCUCUUUAAGAAACCUAGAUUCAGAACCAAAGUUAGGGAAUGUAACAUUUCUGUAAAUGGUGUAAGAUUGUGGAAUGCCAUUAACAAGGAAUUUAAAGAAUCAACUACACUUGCAAUAUUUAAAAAAUGUAUAAAAUCUAAUGUAUUUAGUAAUUAUGAAAAGGAGAAUUAUAAUGUCAAAGAUUAGACGUGAAAAUAUUAGAAAGUGACUGAGGUUACACUGUGUUUGUUUGGCGGAUAAUUUUAUUUCGUAAAAAGGGGCAGAAAUCAUAAGAUUUUUUCUUCUAUCUGCUCCUUUUCAUUCAAAUGUUUUUUUUCAAUAUGUUAAUGUAUCCUGUAUUUGUUUGUGUUUAUUUUAUACAUUGUGAAUGAAAUAAAAUAUUUAAAAAAAAGUGGAGGAGGUGGGUUUUUAGGCGACUCUUAAAAGACUGGCAGAGAUGGGGACAGCCUAACUGAGGGUGGCAAGUGGUUCCAGAGUGAGGGUGUUAGGACAGAGAAAGCCCGGUCCUCGCGAGUACGAUUCCUAGAACGAGAGACAGCGAGCAGGCCUUGGUCAGAGGAGCGCAGAGCGCGUGAUGGGGAAUGUCUGUUCAGAAGUGUGGCUAGAUAGGGGGGAGCACCACCCUAGAAGAAAUUGUAAACAAAGACGAGGAGUUUAAAGUGUGAACGAUAACAGACUGGAAGCCAGUGCAGGGAGGCCAGAACCGGACUGAUGUGGUCCCGUUUCCUGGUCCCAGUCAGGAACCUGGCUGCGCUGUUCUGCACUACUGUAGACGACGCAGUGAUGACUGACACAACCCUGCAUAUAGAGAGUUGCAGUAAUCAAGCCUAGAAAUUACAAAAGCAUGGAGUCCGGCUCCAGGUGGGCUCUCGACAGCAUAGGCUUUAUUUUUGCAAGGCGUCUCAGGUGAAAGAAACUGGAUCGGAUCACAGAGUUGAUGUGAGCAUCAAAUUUAAGUCCAGCGUCAAUUUUUACCCCCAGACUGGUGACAACUGGUUUUGAGUAGGAAGGGCCAAGAUCAACAUAACGACCCACUGCCCUGCUAUUGGGGUGAAAAACAAUGAGCUCUGUCUUUCCCUCAUUCAGAUGCAGAUAAUUGGCCAUUAGCCAAGACUUUACCUCGUUAAGACAAGACACAAAGAACUGGAUAGAGAGACCUUUCUCCUGACACAACGGAGAGUAAAUCUGGCAAUCGUCAGCAUUGAGAUGGAACGCUAGGCCAUGUUUACGAAAGAUUGACCCCAGAGGAAGCAGAUAAAUUGCAAAUAAAAGAGGACCAAGGAUCAAUCCCUGCGGAACCCCCCAGCGGAGCCCCUCCCAAGAAGAAAAAACAUCACUAAGUUUAACACUAGAACUCCCAGUGACCUGUCAUUUGACGGGAUCCCCCAUCUCUACCAGAGAGUUGUCAUUUGACUGGGCUGCUGUUAUCUAGGAUCCUUAAUCACUUGUGGAUGGUUUCCUUUGUUCUGUAAAGGUGGCAGUUACUUACAUGUGAAUUGGUAGUGUAGUGACAAUUCCUUCAAAGAUUCCAACAUUUCAGGUUCCAAAAUGUUGCCUGUCUGUGUCUCCAGUCAACCUUUCUUCUUUAGAGGAGUUCUGCUCUCUGACGUGGAACACAACUCAUCAUCUGAAGACAAAUCAAAACUCUCCUGCAAGAGAAUGGAUUCUUCCUCCCCCAACUGAAUCACAAGAACCCAUAUUUUGCAACCCUCAGUCCGACGCGCGGAGCCGUAGGCGGAAGAUCGCCGGCAGGACUAACCAGCCGGCCGGGAGGCAAUGCAAGCCCCCUGGCUUUGAAGAGAGAGCGGCGCCUGUUCGGCUCCCUGGAGACGAUCUCCCAGCCUACCGGCUCGCACGACGGGGACGGCACCAAAAUGUUGGGUAUUUUUAUUUAUUCAAUCCAGGCGUACCUCAAAGAAAGUCCACAACACACAAGGGGGUUAGAGAUAUUAUUGUUAUUAAUACCAUUUACCAAUAAACACAAAUAAUCAAUAAUCAGAUUUUGCAAAACCGGAGAGAAAAAAGUAACACCCACACCAGGGAGGUCGGUUUAGUCUCUCAACGAGCCGGGGGCUCAUCAAAAGGUUUUAUUCACAGAUGACAUAUGACAUAGCACACACGCAUUAAAAGGUGACCCCACCUCCUCCUUCACAGACAGCAAACUUUCCCAGGUUCAGAGAGCUUGUUGUGAUCUUCCAUGCAUCCAAUACUGUAUUUACUCAUUGACAUUAAUAUUAUGGACAUCUUCUUUCCAUAGGCUCCAAUAUCAGUUUUUUGAGGCCAAAUGGGAGGUGGCCACCACCGCCAUUUUGACCGUGUCACAGGUUCCGUCAAGCCCAAACAAUUCCAAAAAAGGAAAGAGGCUGGGAUCGACUGACGACACCCGGUCGAACUAGCUACAAGCUAACCUGAAGCUAACCCAAAGCUAAUGCGGAGGUGGGGGCUAAGCUAACGGAGGUAGCAACCUAGCUACAACCGGAGUUAACUGUGCACAACACCAGAGCUUCUGAGUUAGAGAUACGCCGGGCUGACCGCUGGGUAAAACCGGGUGGAACACAGAGGUCUCGGAGACCUCCACAAGCCGGCAGCCGCACAGCACACAUAAGCCGCGAUCAGACAGAUGCGCCGAGCUGCUGGGAGAACCAGCCGUCAGCCCGCGCAGCACACAGAAGCCGCGAUCAGACAGAUGCGCCGAGCUGCUGGGAGAACCAGCUGUCAGCCCGCCGCAGCACACAGAAGCCGCGAUCAGACAGCGAUGCGCCAAGCUGCUGGGAGAACCAGCCGUCAGCCCGCGCAGCUAAGGAGCCGCGAUCAGACAGAGAUGGACCGGGCUGCGGGGAGGGGAGAACCGAGUGGAAAACAGAGGUCUCCCGA
Molecule: non-coding RNA, 7390 nt
Organism: Nothobranchius furzeri (turquoise killifish)
Lineage: Eukaryota; Metazoa; Chordata; Actinopteri; Cyprinodontiformes; Nothobranchiidae
Source: RefSeq, a predicted model, not a curated record